ACUCCUACGGGAGGCAGCAGUGGGGAAUAUUGCACAAUGGGCGCAAGCCUGAUGCAGCAACGCCGUGUGAGUGAUGAAGGCCUUCGGGUCGUAAAACUCUGUCCUAUGGGAAGAAUAAAAUGACGGUACCAUAGGAGGAAGCCCCGGCUAACUACGUGCCAGCAGCCGCGGUAAUACGUAGGGGGCAAGCGUUAUCCGGAAUCACUGGGCGUAAAGGGUGCGUAGGUGGCUUAUCAAGCCAGGGGUGAAAGGCAUUGGCUCAACCAAUGUAAGCCUUUGGAACUGAUAAGCUUGAGUGCAGGAGAGGUAAGUGGAAUUCCUAGUGUAGAGGUGAAAUUCGUAGAUAUUAGGAGGAACACCAGUGGCGAAGGCGACUUACUGGACUGUAACUGACACUGAGGCACGAAAGCGUGGGGAGCGAACAGGAUUAGAUACCCUGGUAGUC
Molecule: ribosomal RNA, 445 nt
Filed under: uncultured bacterium
Lineage: Bacteria
Description: bacterial SSU rRNA
Rfam family: Bacterial small subunit ribosomal RNA
Source: RNAcentral